This 73-nucleotide transfer RNA is filed under the name Albula goreensis. It matches the Rfam family "tRNA". Rfam says of the family: Transfer RNA (tRNA) molecules are approximately 80 nucleotides in length. Their secondary structure includes four short double-helical elements and three loops (D, anti-codon, and T loops). Further hydrogen bonds mediate the characteristic L-shaped molecular structure. tRNAs have two regions of fundamental functional importance: the anti-codon, which is responsible for specific mRNA codon recognition, and the 3' end, to which the tRNAs corresponding amino acid is attached (by aminoacyl-tRNA synthetases). tRNAs cope with the degeneracy of the genetic code in two manners: having more than one tRNA (with a specific anti-codon) for a particular amino acid; and 'wobble' base-pairing, i.e. permitting non-standard base-pairing at the 3rd anti-codon position. The record is from Rfam by way of RNAcentral. Lineage: Eukaryota; Metazoa; Chordata; Actinopteri; Albuliformes; Albulidae.
GGGGAAUUAGCUCAAAUGGUAGAGCGCUCGCUUAGCAUGCGCAAAGUAGCGGGCUCAAUGCCCACAUUCUCCA